This 459-nucleotide ribosomal RNA is filed under the name Salmonella enterica. RNAcentral describes it as "bacterial SSU rRNA". It matches the Rfam family "Bacterial small subunit ribosomal RNA", at positions 1 to 456 of the family's 1533-position model. The record is from RNAcentral. Lineage: Bacteria; Pseudomonadati; Pseudomonadota; Gammaproteobacteria; Enterobacterales; Enterobacteriaceae. RNAcentral also lists the same sequence under 1 other name.
AAAUUGAAGAGUUUGAUCAUGGCUCAGAUUGAACGCUGGCGGCAGGCCUAACACAUGCAAGUCGAACGGUAACAGGAAGCAGCUUGCUGCUUUGCUGACGAGUGGCGGACGGGUGAGUAAUGUCUGGGAAGCUGCCUGAUGGAGGGGGAUAACUACUGGAAACGGUGGCUAAUACCGCAUAACGUCGCAAGACCAAAGAGGGGGACCUUCGGGCCUCUUGCCAUCAGAUGUGCCCAGAUGGGAUUAGCUUGUUGGUGAGGUAACGGCUCACCAAGGCGACGAUCCCUAGCUGGUCUGAGAGGAUGACCAGCCACACUGGAACUGAGACACGGUCCAGACUCCUACGGGAGGCAGCAGUGGGGAAUAUUGCACAAUGGGCGCAAGCCUGAUGCAGCCAUGCCGCGUGUAUGAAGAAGGCCUUCGGGUUGUAAAGUACUUUCAGCGGGGAGGAAGGUGUUG